UACGUAGGGCGCAAGCGUUGUCCGGAAUUAUUGGGCGUAAAGAGCUCGUAGGCGGCUUAUCACGUCGGGUGUGAAAGCCCGGGGCUUAACCCCGGGUCUGCAUUCGAUACGGGCUGGCUAGAGUGUGGUAGGGGAGAUCGGAAUUCCUGGUGUAGCGGUGAAAUGCGCAGAUAUCAGGAGGAACACCGGUGGCGAAGGCGGAUCUCUGGGCCAUUACUGACGCUGAGGAGCGAAAGCGUGGGGAGCGAACAGG
RNAcentral lists this ribosomal RNA (253 nucleotides) under uncultured bacterium. Its description in RNAcentral is "partial 16S ribosomal RNA". It matches the Rfam family "Bacterial small subunit ribosomal RNA", at positions 524 to 776 of the family's 1533-position model. The record is from RNAcentral.